ACUGGCGGCAGUAGCGCGGUGGUCCCCACCUGACUACAUGCCGAACUCAGAAGUGAAACGCCGUAGCGCCGAUGGUGGUGUGGGGUCUCCCCGUAAGUACGGGGACUGCGGUGU
This 114-nucleotide ribosomal RNA is filed under the name Salmonella enterica subsp. enterica. Lineage: Bacteria; Pseudomonadati; Pseudomonadota; Gammaproteobacteria; Enterobacterales; Enterobacteriaceae. The record is from RNAcentral.